UAUAACUUCUAAGUUUAACUCAAAUUAAUAUUCAUUGUACAAAUCACUAUGUUACUCCUAUGGUUUUUUUCCUUAGUACUAGUACUUACUAUAAAUUGGUAUUUCAUAUUUACAUGUUGCAGACUAUUGCUUCAGCAAUGGCUAUAUUAACGACAUUAUUUCGCAUCCCUACAAGUUCGACGGAGUAGACAUAGCUUUGCACUAUGUGUCUUUUCUAAGGCUGUGAUAUUUUAUGAUUCUCAUUUGUGGCAAUUAGUGGUAAAAUAAAUAGAGACACACUCUGCCUCCUUAUGAAGGUUCACGGGGCUUUUUUUGUUCAGAUUUAUAAGG
Medicago truncatula (barrel medic) is the source of this 330-nucleotide long non-coding RNA. RefSeq lists it as uncharacterized. Lineage: Eukaryota; Viridiplantae; Streptophyta; Magnoliopsida; Fabales; Fabaceae. The transcript has 3 exons. The record is from RefSeq and is a predicted model, not a curated record.